CCUACGGGCGGCAGCAGUAGGGAAUCUUCCGCAAUGGGCGAAAGCCUGACGGAGCAACGCCGCGUGAGUGAUGAAGGUCUUCGGAUCGUAAAACUCUGUUAUUAGGGAAGAACAAAUGUGUAAGUAACUAUGCACGUCUUGACGGUACCUAAUCAGAAAGCCACGGCUAACUACGUGCCAGCAGCCGCGGUAAUACGUAGGUGGCAAGCGUUAUCCGGAAUUAUUGGGCGUAAAGCGCGCGUAGGCGGUUUUUUAAGUCUGAUGUGAAAGCCCACGGCUCAACCGUGGAGGGUCAUUGGAAACUGGAAAACUUGAGUGCAGAAGAGGAAAGUGGAAUUCCAUGUGUAGCGGUGAAAUGCGCAGAGAUAUGGAGGAACACCAGUGGCGAAGGCGACUUUCUGGUCUGUAACUGACGCUGAUGUGCGAAAGCGGGGGGAUCAAACAGGAUUAGAUACCCCAGUAGUC
RNAcentral lists this ribosomal RNA (465 nucleotides) under uncultured Staphylococcus sp. RNAcentral's name for it is "bacterial SSU rRNA". It matches the Rfam family "Bacterial small subunit ribosomal RNA", at positions 338 to 795 of the family's 1533-position model. Lineage: Bacteria; Bacillati; Bacillota; Bacilli; Caryophanales; Staphylococcaceae. The record is from RNAcentral.